This 445-nucleotide ribosomal RNA is filed under the name uncultured bacterium. RNAcentral's name for it is "bacterial SSU rRNA". It matches the Rfam family "Bacterial small subunit ribosomal RNA", at positions 29 to 506 of the family's 1533-position model. The record is from RNAcentral.
ACUAACGCUGACGGUAUGCCUUAUACAUGCAAGUCGAACGGAAAGGCCCCUUCGGGGGUGCUCGAGUGGCGGACGGGUGAGUAACACGUAGGAAUCUGCCCCAUAGUGGGGGAUAACCGGGAGAAAUUCUGGCUAAUACCCCAUAGGUCGCAAGAUUAAAGCAGUAAUGCGCUUUGGGAGGAGCCUGCGGCUGAUUAGCUAGUUGGUAAGGUAAAAGCUUACCAAGGCGACGAUCAGUAGCUGGUCUGAGAAGACGACCAGCCACAAUGGGACUGAGAUACGGCCCAUACUCCUACGGGAGGCAGCAGUAGGGAAUUUUGCGCAAUGGACGAAAGUCUGACGCAGCGAUACCGUGUGUGGGAAGAAGCCCCGUGGGGUGUAAACCACUGUCGGAAGGGACGAAAAAAAUGACGGUACCUUCAAAGGAAGCACCGGCUAACUCUGU